This 523-nucleotide long non-coding RNA is filed under the name Equus asinus (donkey). RNAcentral's name for it is "lncRNA (ENSEASG00005024711.1)". Lineage: Eukaryota; Metazoa; Chordata; Mammalia; Perissodactyla; Equidae. The record is from RNAcentral.
UUACGUGCUUAGACUUAGUCUUAAAGCCUACAGGAAUUACUGAUCCUGAUGACAUUCCCUAGUUGUGAACAUCAUUUCUUGUCCUGCCUCUGAACCUUCAGCUUCACCUUUGGGGAAGAUAAUGGGAUGCCAUAUGGUGUCUUGGAUUGAGCUCCCUGGAAACAUACUCUGAGCCAGAGAAUUGCAUGCAGAAGAUUUAUUGCUAUCCACCAAAAUAUUGGUAAUCCUAACAAGACAGGAAGUUGAUGUUGGCAGCAGAUCCAACCAGAAGUGAUAGGGGAAGGGUUGUAAGAGAAACAUUUUCUGAACUGUGAUAUAAAGGCGAUGGAAAAUGCAGGCCUGUUAAGUGACAUAACACAUCCAUUCUUGAAUCCUGCAAAGGAUAUUAUGUGAGCAAAUGCACAGAGUGAAACCUAAAAAAGUUUCCAGUUUUAAAAUGCUGAAUGCUUGAGAGCUCUGCUUUUACCUGCUGUGAUUUAAAAGGCUAGAGGCCUCAUUUUGAGCCACUAAAAUUCAAAGUGAC